UGUAGACUUCAAAAAUACACUUUUGAUAAUGACAUCAAAUGUGGGAAGCAGUGUUAUAGAGAAGGGAGGUCGGAGAAUGGGGUUCGACCUUGAUUACGACGAGAAGGAUAGUAGUUAUAACCGAAUCAAGAGCUUGGUGACAGAGGAACUGAAACAAUACUUCAGGCCUGAGUUCUUGAAUAGGUUGGAUGAAAUGAUUGUCUUCCGUCAGCUCACAAAACUGGAAGUGAAGGAGAUUGCGGAUAUAAUGCUGAAGGAGGUGUUUGAUAGGUUAAAAGCGAAAGAAAUUGACCUUCAAGUGACAGAGAGAUUUAGAGAUAGGGUAGUGGAGGAAGGAUAUAACCCAAGCUACGGUGCGAGACCUUUGAGAAGGGCAAUAAUGAGACUUUUGGAGGACAGCAUGGCAGAGAAGAUGCUGGCAAGGGAGAUCAAGGAGGGUGACUCGGUAAUCGUGGAUGUUGAUUCGGAUGGAAAUGUUACAGUACUCAACGGCAGCAGUGGUGCUCCUGAAUCCUUGCCGGAUGCCAUCCCUGUGUAAACUACAUUUUAUUACAUAGAGAUAACAUUCUUACUAGCUCAUAAAAUGUAUUUCGAACUUCAUCUUAUUUAAAUUAGUAGGUUGUACACUCGAGACGGAGAAAAAAAGAAAAGAAAUUAAUGUAUCGUAAUUUGCUUCUCAAUGGAUGCUAGCUAAUUGUCGAUUUGGUAGUAUAGCUGAUUUAUGU
This 725-nucleotide long non-coding RNA is filed under the name Cucumis sativus (cucumber). RNAcentral describes it as "long non-coding RNA (CSAT_LNC000018)". The record is from RNAcentral. Lineage: Eukaryota; Viridiplantae; Streptophyta; Magnoliopsida; Cucurbitales; Cucurbitaceae.